Pelobates cultripes (western spadefoot toad) is the source of this 212-nucleotide non-coding RNA. NCBI's taxonomy places the organism in Eukaryota, Metazoa, Chordata, Amphibia, Anura, Pelobatidae. The record is from the annotation of a GenBank genome assembly.
CUUGAUAUGGAAGUAUCAGUUCUACCCCAUACAAUGCUUAAAUAUUGUGGCUAAAGGUGUAUGGAAUCCAACUUGUCCAAAUUAGGGACAUGAAUGUGUGAGUUGCCCUCCACCCUUUGCUGCUCUAACGGUCUCCGCUACCCAGAUACGUCUUUUCAUUAUACGUUGUGCCAUUGUAGCGGGAUUUGGAAGAAUUCGUAACAGCUGAUGGC